Molecule: ribosomal RNA, 253 nt
Filed under: uncultured bacterium
Lineage: Bacteria
Description: partial 16S ribosomal RNA
Rfam family: Bacterial small subunit ribosomal RNA
Source: RNAcentral
UACGUAGGUGACAAGCGUUGUCCGGAUUUACUGGGCGUAAAGAGCGCGCAGGCGGUCGAUCAAGUCGAGUGUGAAAGCCCCCGGCUCAACUGGGGAGGGUCAUUCGAUACUGAUCGACUCGAAGGCAGGAGAGGGUAGUGGAAUUCCCGGUGUAGUGGUGAAAUGCGUAGAUAUCGGGAGGAACACCAGUGGCGAAGGCGACUACCUGGCCUGUUCUUGACGCUGAGGCGCGAAAGCGUGGGUAGCAAACAGG